RNAcentral lists this unclassified non-coding RNA (331 nucleotides) under soil metagenome. RNAcentral describes it as "partial contains 5.8S ribosomal RNA, internal transcribed spacer 2, and large subunit ribosomal RNA". The stretch from base 1 to 120 matches the Rfam family "5.8S ribosomal RNA", at positions 35 to 154 of the family's 154-position model. The record is from RNAcentral.
GAUGAAGAACGUAGCGAAAUGCGAUAAGUAAUGUGAAUUGCAGAAUUCCGUGAAUCAUCGAAUCUUUGAACGCAUACUGCGCCCUCUGGCAUUCCGGGGGGCAUGCCUGUUCGAGCGUCAUUUCACCACUCAAGCCUCGCUUGGUAUUGGGCAACGCGGUCCGCCGCGUGCCUCAAAUCGACCGGCUGGGUCUUCUGUCCCCUAAGCGUUGUGGAAACUAUUCGCUAAAGGGUGUUCGGGAGGCUACGCCGUAAAACAACCCCAUUUCUAAGGUUGACCUCGGAUCAGGUAGGGAUACCCGCUGAACUUAAGCAUAUCAAUAAGCGGAGGA